GGCGAACGGGUGAGUAAUGCGUCGGAACGUACCGAGUAAUGGGGGAUAACGCACCGAAAGGUGUGCUAAUACCGCAUACGCCCUGAGGGGGAAAGUGGGGGAUCGCAAGACCUCACGUUAUUCGAGCGGCCGACGUCUGAUUAGCUAGUUGGUGGGGUAAUGGCUCACCAAGGCGACGAUCAGUAGCGGGUCUGAGAGGAUGAUCCGCCACACUGGAACUGAGACACGGUCCAG
Molecule: ribosomal RNA, 234 nt
Filed under: uncultured bacterium
Lineage: Bacteria
Description: partial 16S ribosomal RNA
Rfam family: Bacterial small subunit ribosomal RNA
Source: RNAcentral